Molecule: ribosomal RNA, 497 nt
Filed under: uncultured bacterium
Lineage: Bacteria
Description: partial 16S ribosomal RNA
Rfam family: Bacterial small subunit ribosomal RNA
Source: RNAcentral
GAUGAACGCUGGCGGCGUGCCUAAUACAUGCAAGUCGAGCGACCAGACGGUGAGCUUUUUCCUCUGCGGUUAGCGGCGGACGGAGGAGUAACACGUGGAUAGCCUACUUCUCAUACUGGGAUAACUACGGGAAGCCAGAGCUGCUAAUACCGAAUAUAUUGUACCGCUUGGAUCAAUAGUGCAUGACAGUUUUGGUGUCUCUAUUAGAUGGUUUCGCGCCGCAUUAGCUAGUUGGUAAGGUAACGGCUUACCAAGGCGACGAUGCGUAGCCGACCUGAGAGGGGGAUCGGCCACACUGGAACUGAGACACGGUCCAGACUCCUACGGGAGGCAGCAGUAGGGAAUCUUCGACAAUGGGCGAAAGCCUGACGGAGCAACGCCGCGUGGGGGAUGAAGGUCUUCGGAUCGUAAAGCUCUUUUAUUAGGAAAGAAAAAAUGUUGAAGUAACUAUGGAUGUCUUGACGGUACCUAAACAAAAAGCCACGGCUAACUACGUG